GGUUCCAUGUGAACGGCACUUGCACAUGGGUAAGCCGAUCCUAAGGGACGGGGUAACCCUGGCAGACAGCGCGAUCUCGCGUGUUGCCCGAAAGGGAAUCGGGUUAAGAUUUCCCGAGCCGGGACGUGGCGGUUGACGGCGACGUUAGGAAGUCCGGAGACGCCGGCGGGGGCCUCGGGAAGAGUUAUCUUUUCUGCUUAACGGCCUGCCAACCCUGGAAUCGGUUCAGCCGGAGGUAGGGUCCAGCGGUCGGAAGAGCACCUGUGGCAGAACCUCCUAAGUGUUUGGGCCCACCGACACCUGCCAUUGUCCUAAGGACCUCUGACGGUGAUGUCGGGAGUCCUCCCACUUUAGAAGUCCGAUGAGCAUUGCUGGACGCUCAUUCCACUGCUACCCGUGGCGUAC
Molecule: ribosomal RNA, 405 nt
Filed under: Sorghum bicolor (sorghum)
Lineage: Eukaryota; Viridiplantae; Streptophyta; Magnoliopsida; Poales; Poaceae
Description: rRNA LSU_rRNA_eukarya
Rfam family: Eukaryotic large subunit ribosomal RNA
Source: RNAcentral